RNAcentral lists this unclassified non-coding RNA (306 nucleotides) under plant metagenome. RNAcentral describes it as "partial contains 5.8S ribosomal RNA, internal transcribed spacer 2, and large subunit ribosomal RNA". The stretch from base 1 to 105 matches the Rfam family "5.8S ribosomal RNA", at positions 50 to 154 of the family's 154-position model. The record is from RNAcentral.
GAAAUGCGAUACGUAGUGUGAAUUGCAGAAUUCCGUGAACCAUCGAAUCUUUGAACGCACAUUGCGCCCCUUGGUAUUCCAUGGGGCAUGCCUGUUCGAGCGUCAUCUACACCCUCAAGCUCUGCUUGGUGUUGGGCGUCUUUGUCCCGCCUCCGCGCGCGGACUCGCCCCAAAUUCAUUGGCAGCGGUCCUUGCCUCCUCUCGCGCAGCACAUUGCGCUUCUCGAGGUGUUGCGGCCCGCGUCCAGAAAGCAAUCGUUACCGUCUUUGACCUCGGAUCAGGUAGGGAUACCCGCUGAACUUAAGC